AGCAGCCGCGGUAAUUCCAGCUCCAAUAGCGUAUAUUAAAGUUGUUGCAGUUAAAAAGCUCGUAGUUGAAUUUCGAGAUCAAAUUGUUGGUCGUGCCUCGGUACGUACUGGUAAUUUUGGUUUCUCCCUUCUGAAGAACCAUGAUGUCAUUAAUUUGGUGUCUUGGGGAAUCAGGACUGUUACUUUGAAAAAAUUAGAGUGUUUAAAGCAGGCUCGCGCUUGAAUACAUUAGCAUGGAAUAAUGAAAUAGGACGUUUGAUUCUAUUUUGUUGGUUCUAGGAUCGACGUAAUGAUUAAUAGGGAUAGUUGGGGGCAUUAGUAUUCAAUUGUCAGAGGUGAAAUUCUUGGAUUUAUGAAGACUAACUACUGCGAAAGCAUUUGCCAAGGAUGUUUCAUUAAUCAAGAACGAAAGUUAGGGAUACGAAGACGA
This 430-nucleotide ribosomal RNA is filed under the name uncultured Glomus. Its description in RNAcentral is "SSU rRNA". It matches the Rfam family "Eukaryotic small subunit ribosomal RNA", at positions 569 to 1007 of the family's 1831-position model. Lineage: Eukaryota; Fungi; Glomeromycota; Glomeromycetes; Glomerales; Glomeraceae. The record is from RNAcentral.